AACAGCUGUUCUUUGUACGAAUGGUGGCCAUUUUGUAAAAAAAAACACAUUAAAUGUGAUUUUUAACAUUUAAGGGUUUUUUACCCUAACCAGUGGUUAUAUCCCUGGGUUAAUUUUUAAAAUAUAGAAUGUGUUUGUUCGAAGUUUUCUCUUCUUUUGAGGUUUUUACACCUAUAAGACGAUAGCUCUGAUGAUGGCAUUAAUAUGCUGAAAGUACUUAGCUGAUUUAAUAAAUUAAUUUACACAC
Molecule: long non-coding RNA, 247 nt
Organism: Diabrotica virgifera virgifera (western corn rootworm)
Lineage: Eukaryota; Metazoa; Arthropoda; Insecta; Coleoptera; Chrysomelidae
Exons: 2
Source: RefSeq, a predicted model, not a curated record